GCCUUCGUGGUGUAACGGUAGCACACUUGGCACGUAUUCGAGAGGUCCAGGUUCGAGUCCCGGCGAGGGCA
This 71-nucleotide transfer RNA is filed under the name Stegodyphus mimosarum. It matches the Rfam family "tRNA". From Rfam's summary of the family: Transfer RNA (tRNA) molecules are approximately 80 nucleotides in length. Lineage: Eukaryota; Metazoa; Arthropoda; Arachnida; Araneae; Eresidae. The record is from Rfam by way of RNAcentral.